GGGGGUAUAGCUCAGUUGGUAGAGUGCUUGCCUAGCAUGCACUGGGUUCAAUUCCCAGUGCCACAA
This 66-nucleotide transfer RNA is filed under the name Marmota marmota marmota (Alpine marmot). It matches the Rfam family "tRNA". Rfam says of the family: Transfer RNA (tRNA) molecules are approximately 80 nucleotides in length. Their secondary structure includes four short double-helical elements and three loops (D, anti-codon, and T loops). Further hydrogen bonds mediate the characteristic L-shaped molecular structure. tRNAs have two regions of fundamental functional importance: the anti-codon, which is responsible for specific mRNA codon recognition, and the 3' end, to which the tRNAs corresponding amino acid is attached (by aminoacyl-tRNA synthetases). tRNAs cope with the degeneracy of the genetic code in two manners: having more than one tRNA (with a specific anti-codon) for a particular amino acid; and 'wobble' base-pairing, i.e. permitting non-standard base-pairing at the 3rd anti-codon position. The record is from Rfam by way of RNAcentral. RNAcentral also lists the same sequence under 3 other names. Lineage: Eukaryota; Metazoa; Chordata; Mammalia; Rodentia; Sciuridae.